UUGGGCUGGGACUGAAUUUCCUCGAUCUGUCUUCUGUUUGCUUCUUAAAACUGUGAACUACAUUGCUCAAUUCCUUGUUUCAUCUAUUUCAGAACCUUUGAGUUAUAGCAAUUUUAUUAUGUUCCUGCAAUGUGAUCUACUCUCUGCUGUGCUUCAGGACAGUCCAGGAUCUUUUCCUCAUGACCAAAGCAAUAUGUCAAGGAGUGAUUUUUUCAAUUGCUCCCACAAAAUGGAUUCUGUCUGGUUGUAUAUGUCAGAGGAGAUCACAUCUUACCAAA
This is a long non-coding RNA of Sapajus apella (tufted capuchin), 278 nucleotides long. RefSeq lists it as uncharacterized. Lineage: Eukaryota; Metazoa; Chordata; Mammalia; Primates; Cebidae. The transcript is spliced from 2 exons. The record is from RefSeq and is a predicted model, not a curated record.